RNAcentral lists this long non-coding RNA (1131 nucleotides) under Macaca fascicularis (crab-eating macaque). RNAcentral's name for it is "lncRNA (ENSMFAG00000058303.1)". The record is from RNAcentral. Lineage: Eukaryota; Metazoa; Chordata; Mammalia; Primates; Cercopithecidae.
GGCUGGAGUGCAGUGACGCAAUAUUGGCUUACUGCAACCUCCACCUCCCAGGUUCAAGAGCUUCUCCCACCUCAGCCUCCCGAGUAGCUGGGAUCACAGGCACCCACCACCAUGCCAGGGUAAUUUUUUGUAUUUUUAGUAGAGGGUUCACCAUGUUGGCCAGGCUAGUGUUGAACUCCUGACCUUGUGAUCCAGCUGCCUUGGCCUCCCAAAGUGCUGGGAUUACAGGUGUAAGCCACCAUGCCCAACCUGGGUUCCUUUAGAGCAGCCAAAUCGCUAUCCUUCUAUCUACCUGUGAUAGAAGCCACAGGUAAGGGUUAAGGUGUAGGGAUUGCCCAGGCACAGUGGAAAAGCCCAAGCAGAAGGCCCCUUCUUCCUAAUCCCUUAGAAUAUCAGUUCUCUCUUCUGAUCACAUGGCCAAUCAAGCCCCACUCAUCAUUCUCCACAGGGGAGUCCCAGGGCCACAAGAGACCUGGUAUUCAUGAUGAUUGCAUGGGAAAUACUUAUAUUUUUAAAGUAUUCAUUGUUUAUCUGAAAUUCAAAUUUAACUGAUCAUCCUGUAUUUUAUCUGGCAACCCUAACGUAGGGCUGAGAACCAUGUAGUAGGGAAUUGAACUAGAUCGCCUAUAGAACCCUCUUGACUCCAGGAAACAAAGAUUCUAAGAUUCUUUUUUAAAUUUGUAUUUACUUAGUUUUUUAGAGACGGGAGUCUCACUAUGUUGUCCAGGGUGGAUUAGAACUCCUGGGCUAAAGCGAUCCUUCUGCCUCAGCCUCCCAAGUAGCUGGGAUGCAUGCCACCACACCUGGCUCCUAAGAUUAUUCUAGUUUGCCUUAUUCCUUCCAGUGAAAGCAGAAACUCUUCUUAGGAUUAUAGUAAUAGAGUUGAGAACAAUAACAGGUGAAUCAACAUAACAAAUGACAACACCCACUUACUCGCUGUGUAACCUUGGGACAGUCACUUAACAUCAUUGAACAUACAUUGCUUCAUCUAGCCAAUGAAAGGAAACCAAGAUUUCAUCUAAUAAAUGCCAGGCACUGUGUAGACCCUUCCUUCUGUGAGAUCUCUUGCCUAGGACAGUCAGACAAAAUACUGUCUGAGAAGGCACUUUGUAUGUGGGAAUAGGCUGUACC